CGGGACGUCAUCCUCUUCUAGUGGGUAUGCGUCAUCAUCUGUUGAUUACCAACGGUCCCAAGAAGAGGCUCAAGCUAUGGGAACCGAAUUGGAAGACAUUCAAGCUCGUCUUGAAAAUGAGACGAAGGCGAGAAAAGAUCUUAUGGCUCGUCUUGAAAUUGAGAGAAAAGCGAGAGAAGAUCUUCAA
Long non-coding RNA from Helianthus annuus (common sunflower), 187 nucleotides. RefSeq lists it as uncharacterized. The transcript has 2 exons. The record is from RefSeq and is a predicted model, not a curated record. NCBI's taxonomy places the organism in Eukaryota, Viridiplantae, Streptophyta, Magnoliopsida, Asterales, Asteraceae.